This is a non-coding RNA of Acanthosepion pharaonis, 112 nucleotides long. Lineage: Eukaryota; Metazoa; Mollusca; Cephalopoda; Sepiida; Sepiidae. The record is from the annotation of a GenBank genome assembly.
ACAGCCAGAUCACAUUGAAACACCAGUUCGCAUACGAUCACUGAGGUUAAGCAGUCUCGAGCCUGGUCAGUACCUAGAUAGGUAACCGUUUGGGAAUAUCAGGUGCUGUAAG